Molecule: ribosomal RNA, 494 nt
Filed under: uncultured bacterium
Lineage: Bacteria
Description: bacterial SSU rRNA
Rfam family: Bacterial small subunit ribosomal RNA
Source: RNAcentral
AUGAACGCUAGCGACAGGCCUAACACAUGCAAGUCGAGGGGCAGCACAAGGAGCAAUCUGAGGUGGCGACCGGCGCACGGGUGAGUAACACGUAUGCAACCUGCCUGUAAGCGGGGAAUAACCCGUUGAAAGACGGACUAAUACCGCAUAAUACUAAAUUACUGCAUGGUAAUUUAUUUAAACAUUUAUGGCUUACAGAUGGGCAUGCGCAUGAUUAGCUAGUUGGAGAGGUAACGGCUCCCCAAGGCAACGAUCAUUAGGGGUUCUGAGAGGAAGGUCCCCACACUGGUACUGAGACACGGACCAGACUCCUACGGGAGGCAGCAGUGAGGAAUAUUGGUCAAUGGACGAGAGUCUGAACCAGCCAAGUCGCGUGCAGGAAGAAUGUCCUAAUGGAUUGUAAACUGCUUUUGCAGGGGAAUAAAGUGCAUCACGUGUGAUGUUUUGUAUGUACUCUGCGAAUAAGGAUCGGCUAACUCCGUGCCAGCAGCGGC